AAGUCGUAACAAGGUUUCCGUAGGUGGACCUGCGGAAGGAUCAUUACGAUUUAGUAGCCUAGCUGCUAUCAGGUGGGUUCGUUAGCCUGCAAUACGCUUAAUCGCUGAUGAGCAGCAGACCCCCUGUUUGUACCCUUGUUUUUUGCGUACCAAAGUUUCCUCGGCGGGCUUGCUCGCCGGAUGGACAAUACGUAUAACCUUUUUGAAUAUUCCAAUCAGCGUCGUGAAAAACUUGAAUAAUUACAA
Molecule: unclassified non-coding RNA, 246 nt
Filed under: plant metagenome
Description: partial contains small subunit ribosomal RNA and internal transcribed spacer 1
Rfam family: Eukaryotic small subunit ribosomal RNA (bases 1-46)
Source: RNAcentral